RNAcentral lists this transfer RNA (75 nucleotides) under candidate division WWE3 bacterium. RNAcentral describes it as "tRNA-Asn". It matches the Rfam family "tRNA". Rfam says of the family: Transfer RNA (tRNA) molecules are approximately 80 nucleotides in length. Their secondary structure includes four short double-helical elements and three loops (D, anti-codon, and T loops). Further hydrogen bonds mediate the characteristic L-shaped molecular structure. tRNAs have two regions of fundamental functional importance: the anti-codon, which is responsible for specific mRNA codon recognition, and the 3' end, to which the tRNAs corresponding amino acid is attached (by aminoacyl-tRNA synthetases). tRNAs cope with the degeneracy of the genetic code in two manners: having more than one tRNA (with a specific anti-codon) for a particular amino acid; and 'wobble' base-pairing, i.e. permitting non-standard base-pairing at the 3rd anti-codon position. Lineage: Bacteria; candidate division WWE3. The record is from RNAcentral.
UCCCCGGUAGCUCAGUGGUAGAGCGCGCGCCUGUUAAGCGCUAGGUCGCUGGUUCGAAUCCAGCCCGGGGAGCCA